GGAAACCGGGGCUAAUACCGGAUAUGAGCCGCCUUCGCAUGGGGGUGGUUGGAAAGUUUUUCGGUCAGGGAUGGGCUCGCGGCCUAUCAGCUUGUUGGUGGGGUGAUGGCCUACCAAGGCGACGACGGGUAGCCGGCCUGAGAGGGCGACCGGCCACACUGGGACUGAGACACGGCCCAGACUCCUACGGGAGGCAGCAGUGGGGAAUAUUGCACAAUGGGCGAAAGCCUGAUGCAGCGACGCCGCGUGAGGGAUGAAGGCCUUCGGGUUGUAAACCUCUUUCAGCAGGGAAGAAGCGCAAGUGACGGUACCUGCAGAAGAAGCGCCGGCUAACUACGUGCCAGCAGCCGCGGUAAUACGUAGGGCGCAAGCGUUGUCCGGAAUUAUUGGGCGUAAAGAGCUCGUAGGCGGUUUGUCGCGUCUGGUGUGAAAACUCGAGGCUCAACCUCGAGCUUGCAUCGGGUACGGGCAGACUAGAGUGCGGUAGGGGAGACUGGAAUUCCUG
This 505-nucleotide ribosomal RNA is filed under the name Cellulosimicrobium funkei. Its description in RNAcentral is "bacterial SSU rRNA". It matches the Rfam family "Bacterial small subunit ribosomal RNA", at positions 152 to 672 of the family's 1533-position model. Lineage: Bacteria; Bacillati; Actinomycetota; Actinomycetes; Micrococcales; Promicromonosporaceae. The record is from RNAcentral.